RNAcentral lists this ribosomal RNA (743 nucleotides) under Ricasolia amplissima. RNAcentral's name for it is "LSU rRNA". It matches the Rfam family "Eukaryotic large subunit ribosomal RNA", at positions 184 to 941 of the family's 3401-position model. Lineage: Eukaryota; Fungi; Ascomycota; Lecanoromycetes; Peltigerales; Lobariaceae. The record is from RNAcentral.
AAUUUCUUGGAACAGAACGUCGCAGAGGGUGAGAAUCCCGUACGUGACCGGUGACCAAGCCCGUGUGAAGCCCCUUCGACGAGUCGAGUUGUUUGGGAAUGCAGCUCAAAAUGGGUGGUAAAUUCCAUCUAAAGCUAAAUAUUGGCCAGAGACCGAUAGCGGACAAGUAGAGUGAUCGAAAGAUGAAAAGCACUUUGGAAAGAGAGUUAAACAGUACGUGAAAUUGUUGAAAGGGAAGCGCUUGCGACCAGACCGGUCCGGGGGCGAUCAGCCGCUGCUCGUCAGCGGUGCACUCGCCUCCGAUCCGGCCAGCAUCGGUUUGGGCGGCGGGAUAAAAGUCCCGGGAAUGUAGCUUCCCUCGGGGAGUCUUAUAGCCCGGGUCGCAAUGCCGCCCGCCUGGACCGAGGACCGCGCUUCGGCUAGGAUGCUGGCGUAAUGGUCGCAAGCGACCCGUCUUGAAACACGGACCAAGGAGUCUAACAUCUAUGCGAGUGUUUGGGUGUCAAACCCAGGCGCGGAAUGAAAGUGAACGGAGGUGGGAACCCGUCAGACGGCCGCACCAUCGACCGAUCCUGAUGUCUUCGGAUGGAUUUGAGUAUGAGCAUAGCUGUUGGGACCCGAAAGAUGGUGAACUAUGCCCGGAUAGGGUGAAGCCAGAGGAAACUCUGGUGGAGGCUCGCAGCGGUUCUGACGUGCAAAUCGAUCGUCAAAUCUAGGCAUAGGGGCGAAAGACCAAUCGAACC